GGGCUCAGCCACCUCAUUGGCCACGGGCAGCCUUUGUCGUGUGAGCCUUGCUCUCCUGGGGAGGCUCAGGCUGACGGCUGAUGUGGGCAUUGCUGAGGGUAACCUGUGGCCCAGUGGAUAUGGCUGGGUCUCCUCAAGCUGCAUUCAUUCAAGUAGGACCCAGGGUGCAUGCCCAUCUCCAGCCCAGGGCAGCUCCCCUGUAAGCUGGGUGAGCUACUGAAGCCAAGGCGGGAGGCAGCUGACAACACCCACGGCCCAUGCGGAGGUGGUAGAAAGGCUGGACUCAGCAGCAACACCAAAUCCCGGACCAGGCAGAAACCACCCAAGACUGAGGGGCUCGUGCCAGAGCGGUGGCCACAGAGACUUCAGAACCCACUCCUGAGAACAGCGGAGCCAGGCGCUUAGAGGAAGACCAAAUGCUGCCAGGACACGGAUUGUCCAGGGAUUACAUUCCAGCAUCUUAUUAGAGGACCGAAGCAGAGGGUGCUGUUUCAA
Gorilla gorilla gorilla (western lowland gorilla) is the source of this 495-nucleotide long non-coding RNA. RefSeq lists it as uncharacterized. NCBI's taxonomy places the organism in Eukaryota, Metazoa, Chordata, Mammalia, Primates, Hominidae. The record is from RefSeq and is a predicted model, not a curated record. The transcript has 3 exons.